UGCUUUGGGGGCGAGGUGUGUGUAAACCUGGGGGAGAAUACCUGCUUUUCUCCCCUCGGGCUGCUCCGGCCCAGCUGGGUGAGCAGCUUAAAGCACCGCCAGCACGGAGGUGUCAGAGCCUGCGAGGCAGGGAGAGAAAAGCCAGGCUUGUGUGGCGAUGGGAAAGGAAAACAAGGUGGGGAAGGGGCUCGAUGUGAACUGCCUGAGGUCACCGAAGGGGUGGCAGAAACGCCUCCAGCUCCCGUGCUUCCAGUGCUGGCUGCACCGUGCUUGGUAUUUGGGGGAAUACUUAGGUUUUUUAAUAAAAGCGAUCAAAUUAUUGCAAAGAAACAAAAGGUGGAUCUUUUAAAUGGAUGGAUACGAUGGGUGUUGAUAUAAUAUCUAUUUUUACUUGGAUAAAAAACAGUUUACCGUAAAGCAUCAUUUUCUUUUGCACUCAGAGUGAAGGAGCCCAGAUCGUUAUCCAGAGCUGCUCUAGGCACUGCUUGCAGCCAGCCGUGUAGCAUCAGCCUGCUUCGAAGGCUUUUCUUAGUGCUUUGGGGGGAAAAUAACACCCAGUGGGCUGCCGCUGCUUCGAUGCAGCACUCUGUGAGCGCUUCCCCGUGCUUGGUGGGCUGGGGCAGCCCCUUCCUGAGCCGCCAGCUCACCGCGCUGGCAGUCACAGGUCUGCUGCUGGGGAGAGCUCCCAAAACCAGGGCAGCCCCCAUCUCGGCCCAGGAACUGCUGAUUCCUGUUCUCUUUCCACAUUUCCUCCUCCGAAAGCCACCGUCGGGUGCUGCCGAGGCAGGCGGCGAGGCUCAGCGUCGGCUCUGGGAUGGCUGGCGCUUCGCGGAUGGCCCUGGAGAAGGUGCAGGAGGACAGCCCGCAGGUUUCGCUCGGGCCUCUGCCUGUGUCUGACGGCUCUGCGGGCGGCGUGCGCCAUCCUCCUGCAGCCUGUGCCCUGUGCCGCCGGAGGAUUAAUUGCUCGGCAUCUGCCUAACCUCAUUUCCUGUAGAAACCUCCCUGCCGGAGACCUGCUGCUGUUGUUUUGCCUUCCAAACCCAUCCGAUUUGGAAAAAAAAGAACUCGGUUCUACUUUGCUGGGCUGUUGCACCGUCCUUGAUGGAUCGCUGAAAUGCUUAGAACACGUUAGCACUAAUUUCCUGUGUUAAAGCUUAUCUGGGCUCCUGGCGGUGCGAACUUUCAUGGUUAUCAGCUGGAGACCUCUUAAAAUCUUGCCAGAAAUCCUGCUUGCCCAAAGGGUGGGGAUUAUCUUCCAACAAAAUGACCUUUAUGUGGCACGGAGAAGUUGGGAACAUAAUUGGGAGGGCCGGGGGGACCGACCGGUGGUGAUUUCUUAGAUCCUGAAAUUCUGGGUAGGAAGCAUGUUUGGGGUCCCCGCAGAACCGAAAGUUCAGCGCUGGUUGGUUUCUAAACCCCACUCCUGAAAGUGGGUUUCCGCUGCUUCCCUCAGUGAAAGCAAGGCAGUCGUCAGCGAUGAUCUCAGCCGCAUUUUGAGCAAGUUCAAAAUAUUGCUGCAGUAGGGAAGCAGAAGUUGUGGCAGAUUUUUAUCGGUGGGAUGCUCGAGAAUGGGUUCAGCCUCAUGCCGGGGCCUUGCACCUUGUGUGGUGAUGACGGUGGCUUCAGAAAAAGUCAAAAGCUUGAGUGUAAUUUAAAUUGCUGCUGGUGGCCCCAAAUGCUUCUUAAGACCUUUUGAACUGGAAAUCUCCUUAUCCGCCUGUACAACGUCCGUGCCGCACUGCGUACCGUGAUGAGGAGCCCUGUGGACGGAGGAAGGCCCCCGCAGCGAGCUCUUUUCCAGCCCAGCAGGUUCCCUGCGCCCAGGUAAGCUCUGCAGGCUGCACGGCGCCCUUGGAGCGGAGAUGCUGUGCAUCUCGUGACGUCCUGGCGACGUUGCUGGGGCUGCGUUUUGUGUCCGCUCCGGCGUGCGGCUGAGAGCACGUCAGGGCAGGAUGGAGCCCCAGGUGAUGAUGCAGGGCUGUGAGGUGCAGCUCCUGGACCUCGUACUUCAGAGGAAUUAACUCAGAAAGAUGGCUGGGAGAAGGCACGACGUGCUCUCGUGUAACCACGGAGCACGGGUAGGGUCGUGCCCACUGCAUCUGAACUCCAUGCAAGGCUCUGGGGUUAAUCCUCCCUACUGAAUGGCUUUGGGGAGCUCCAGCUGAGAGCUGUGUUUUUGCUCUUGGAAGCUGCCUUCGGAAGCAUCUGGCGCUCUUCGGGGAUUAAGCACAGGUUCUUAGACAGAGGUUAGGAUUAGCAAGGAAGGAAGCAGGAGCCCACAGUUUGGGCUCAGGCAGCAGUUCCUUAGGAAGCAGGAUGAUGGUAGCAGAAGAGCUGCUUGCGGGUCCCAGAGUGCUCCUGUCCUCUUCUCCCUGCUGGCACAAGGAGGGAAGCACAGCGAGGAAACACCAAGAAACCCCAACCAUGGACUGUGACCAUGCUCGGCCCUUGUGGGUGGCUUGGAGAGGCACGGGGCUGGUGGUGGAAGCUCGCUGCCUGCUCCUCCCCACGGCUGCUGCCUCAGCUCGGUGCCACCGGUGAGAAAAGGGCGCUGAGAAUCGCAGCGGAGCGUUAAGGAAGGUUCCUCUGCUCAUAAGCCUUCAAUGGGUUUAAUUACUUGGCAGUAACUUCUUUAAACCGUAUUUGAGUUGAAGCUAAAUGUUUUGGCUGGUUAUGUCACCGCUGUAUUAGCGAGGAAUGCAGGAGAGAGUGCUAGUUUGUAUUAACGGAGCUGCCUUAAUCCUUCGUAGCCGUGCUUUUUAACGUGUUGCUGUCUUACAGGGAGAGAAAACAUUUGCCCAUGAGACAGCAGAGCUCGCUCCUCAGCGUUUCUGCGUAAGGCAAAUGUUCUUUGUCCUUAAUAAGGACUAAGAAAGUUCUCGGUAGUGGGUGUCCAUAAUUAAUGGUCAGCGUGCAUGAGUGCUGGGUGGCCAACUGUCUGCAUCUGAGGUCUGGCUUUUUGUAAAUACUUUUUCCUACAAUCCUCCUCCAUUUAUGGGUGGGUUGGAAGCCUGACCCCAUUUUUAGUGGUUCCAUACAGCCUUCAGCCCCGAUGUUUCCCUAACAAUGGCCCUGUUGGCCUGGGGUGACUCCAGCACGCACACCUCUCGCGUUCGCCGUCCAGGUCAGCAAAAGUUUUCUUGUGAGCACGCGUAUCUUUGCUGUCCUGACAAGAGAGAAAUUUGUUUAACCUUCUCACGGAUGAUUUGUUAAGAAACCUCACCCUUACCUUGCCUUACAUGUUUGUUUAACCUUAUCAGAGCUUACUGAGCUGACAUGCUCGGUUUUAUAUCCUUCUCCUGUUGAAGACACUUCCUAACAUCUUUGGCCAAGGGGAACUUCAUUAAAGACAAAAAAAAGCAAAAACCAACCAAGAGACAGUAGCGGGUUUAAUCUUCACAAAGCAGCAGGGCUUUUGCCUCCCUGGGAAUAUUACGAAGCUGUGACUUUUCCAGAUUUUGAGCAGAGCGAUUUUUUUGUGACUUUUCCAAAUAAUCUUUCUCCCCCUUCUCUGGCUCCUUGGCAUUGAAACCGUGCUGCAGUCGCCGCGAGAGCCUCCUGCAGCUGCGUGUCGCCUCGCCGCUGCGUUGCAACGGGCCCAGCUGCAAGCGGAGCCACCUCCGAUCCCGUGGAAUAACGUGAGCAGCCGAGUCCCGACGUCUGCUGCUGGUAUCGUCACCGCUGCGUGCGCUUGUCCGGGGGAGAAAGCGUCCACGUGGCUCCUUAUCUGUUCCGGGCCAAAAAUAACACCGCGGCUCCUGCGGCCUCAAAGAACGAGCCUGGUCUCGGAGCGGGGGACUAGGGUGAAGGUGAAAAGGAUAACUGAUGGGGUAAAAGGCAGGACUGGGGGCCUGAGGGUUAGGAUGGCAGGGCUCAGGACCGCGGGGACGAGUCCCUGCUGACCCGCAGCUCUGCCCUCCCUGUGCCACGCAGCGCGGGUUUGCUGCGGGAGGAAGAUGAGAGGUGAGGGCAGUGUCACCUCCGUGCCGUCGCGGCACGGCUCCCCACGGACCCCCGCGGGGCUCUGCAGGUCGUGUCUGCGUCCCGCCAUCUGCCCUCGCGGCUCCCGGGGCGGAGGAAGCGUGAAACGCGCGGCCCCGCUCGCUCGGCUAGGUGGUCGGGGACAGAAAAUGCCUUGUUCCCCGUCAGCCCGCACAAAGGCUGCUUUAUAGGCGCUUGGCCGUACGUCUGCCGAGGUGCCUCAGCCUGCUAGCAGUGGUUGCUGCUGGAGGUAUGCAGGCGCUGGGGCUGCGAUGGACAGGGGGAUGUUGUUCGCGCGCUGCCUCCCCUUCCUUCUGAGGGCAGGGAGCCGCGCGGCGGCCCGGUGCUCGUGGUGAUGGAGCGGUGCCUCGGAGGCUUUCCCUGCGAAAGCAGGACUGGAACCCUCCCGUCACACGCGUGGGGACGGACCUGGCCCGAAACGCAGCCUGCGCCAGUGUGGAGGGACCCCUGUCCCCAGCAGGGCACGUCCCAGCUGGAAGGGAUCCCCGGCUUCGUAAAGUUUUUGAUUUUCUUUGCAGCCUCUGGAUCGCUUUCCCCCCCGUCUUUCCCCUCCCCAGCUUCUUGCCCCGUCUGCCCGAAGUCAUUUUUCUCCUGUCCGUGUCCUCGUGCUGAUUUCACACAGAGGCUUGGCUGCAACCAGCCCUGCCCCGAAACGCACACUCAUCGUUUGAAACCUAGGGGAGGGAGCGAAGGGAGAGAGGCGGCGUCGGCUGGCGGAGCCCUGCUAAGUGCUCGCUCUCUGAAGUUCGCCUCCUUUGGCUUUUAGGCAUCUUCACAGUUUGCCAUCUCCUGCCUCCUGUGUUUGGUUUUCUUUGCCUUUUUUUUUGUUUUUAACCCCCCAAAGCUAGCUGACAGCCCUCCAGUUCCGUUCCCAAAUAGCAUUCUCAUGCUGUCACCGCUGGCUCUGGGACUCGAGGGAGAGCUUGGGUGGAAAAACAGCUUCUCAUCGAAUUACCAAGAGAAGGAUCUCAUGGGAUGAAGGAAGAGCACAGGAGGGACGUGCCCUGUUUCCCAUUAAGCUCUUUCCCUUUAACAUUUUCUUGUGCUCCAGUAGCAUGGAUAAAUAUUGAAAACUGGAAGCUGAAUGUGUCAAAAGGUGCCAUGGGGCAGGUCCGGGGUACGAGCCACCGCCGGCUCUGUGUCCUUCGAGAGCGGCAGCUCUGCCCUGGGGACGUGUGCCCCCACUUGCUCUGUCCUCUGGGGACUGUGGUGCUCUCGCUGAAGGUUGCUUGGGCUUUGAAGACGCAUUUAAGCUUUCUGCCGCCUCUCUCACAAGCGGGUGAGAAAUUACUUUUCGACUUAAUUUCAGACUGGCUGUCGUUCUCAAGCAAGCCUGGAGAAGCGCGGUUUUGACCUUGCUGGCGGGGAAAACUUGGAGGAACCAGAUUUCCCAGGACGCUGAGGGAGGAUUCUUAGGUCUAGAAUCCUGUGCUUCGGCAUCAAAGCGCCUGCAAACCUUCCCGUGCCCCCUCGGUGGAAGGAGAGCUCUCCUGCACGGCACAGGGUUAUCCCCGGGGCACCGCAGGAGGAACCGUCAGGGCAAGGUGGGGAGUCCAGGAGGUCCUGGCCCGGUGUCCCGCAGCCAAACCACACCUCCCCUCCCCUCCUGCACCAGUCACUUCAAUUAAAAUUCCACCGUCAGGGCCGAAGUGAGGGCAGGCAGGAGCAGACUUGUUUUCGGGAGGGAGGACUGAAUUUUCUGCCGGAAUGGGCCUUUUCUCAGGGUGAGCUCAGGAAAUGCUCCCCCCCCACCUCCUCCACCGGUUCGGUGCAGAAAAGCCACAGGUCGAAAUUGCAAAAAAUAAUCAGCAUUGUCUGCUUCGGAUCCCAGAGGGCAUCAAAGAGCGAACGAAUUGAGGAGCCCUGCAGGGACAAAGCUGCGGUUCUCCGGCAGCCUCUCUGAACCAGAGCCCAGGGCACUCAUUGAAGGCAAUUUGUUAAUGAAGAUCGGGGGAGCCGAGCAGGAGAAGAGAUCCCCCCCGGCACCGGGAGCAGCGUGCAGGGUUGGGGAGCAACCUCCUGGAGGUGAAAGGUGGCGAAAGCAAGAGAGCCAGAGCGAAACCCAGGGGGGUCGUAGCGCGGUGGAGUCUGAGAAAUUCCAAAUAUUCUAAACAGAGGUCCCAUGAGCAGAGAUACGAGGGAACCAAAUUCCUUUGGCGUUUGCAACGUCAGGCUGGCUGAAGUAGCCGCUCUUGUGCAAUGCUCUGCUGGAUGGUUACUGAGCAAACGCUGCUCCUUCUGCGGCUCACGGCAAACCAAUUUGUUUCCAGCCACCCGUGUAAAGCAGGUAGCUGUGGCACGGGUGCUCAUGUGCAAAGGGUCAGCGCAGCGACACGAGUUGAGGUUGGAAGUGCUGGAGGGUGGAGGAGAAGCAGGCUUGCAGUUCCUGAGCAAACUGUCUCGUUGAGGAGUGUGAAGACGAGGCAGACCUUCACGGCCCCCUAGUUGCCGGCGGUUUCUCCGCGAAAUAACCUUGGUUGAUGCAGGUCCGUUGUAACUCUCACCCCCUCAGCAAGCUGCUGGAGGAACCUGCUGGCAGCGUCUCCAGGUAACAGCGGCAAGCAGGCGAUGCUGACAGGAUUUCACUUACCACACGUGAAAUACAUGAAAUGCCCGCGGGAUGGCUGCAAGCAGGCGGCUGGAGGAGAGGCCAGCGGGCAGCUCUCUGCGCCGGGGCAGCACCUCGGCUUCCCGGCACCCUCCAUCGACACAGCUCGGGAUGAGGGCUUUUUUCUUGUCCUUUCUUUCUCUGUUUUUUAACCGAUUUCUAGGAAAUGCAAGAUGAAGUGGGCUUUGUUUGGACCCUCCCCAGCAGACACUUUAUCACGCCGGCGAGGCGGCGCUGGGUGACGCAGCACAGAGGCAGACUUGUUGCUCGCUGCAACCGCUGCUGCCUUCACAGCCGGAGAGAGCCGGGCUGCGAGCUCGCCUGAAGCACUCCAGGGCUAAAUCUGCUGCUAAAGCCCUUUCAGGGGAAAUCCUUGUGGCAGAAGGAUUUCAGGUUUAUUAAUUGGUCUAAUUUCUCUACCGAGUGAAAGAGGUCUUAAAUCAUUCCGAUAGUGAGGAGUCAGGUCCAGGUAAAUUUAUAUUUAAUGAGAUAACAUUAUAAUGAAAGAGAACGUUUUAGCUGUACAGAAAUGUCUUAGUAAAUGCCUUUCACAGUCC
Long non-coding RNA from Cygnus olor (mute swan), 7167 nucleotides. RefSeq lists it as uncharacterized. The record is from RefSeq and is a predicted model, not a curated record. Lineage: Eukaryota; Metazoa; Chordata; Aves; Anseriformes; Anatidae. The transcript is spliced from 2 exons.